AUCUACGGCCAUACCACCCUGAACGCGCCCAAUCUCGUCUGAUCUCGGAAGCUAAGCAGGGUCGGGCCUGGUUAGUACUUGGAUGGGAGACAAAUCAUACAAAAAUCAUUUCUCUGUCUC
This 120-nucleotide ribosomal RNA is filed under the name Microcebus murinus (gray mouse lemur). The record is from RNAcentral. Lineage: Eukaryota; Metazoa; Chordata; Mammalia; Primates; Cheirogaleidae.